GACGAACGCUGGCGGCGUGCUUAACACAUGCAAGUCGAACGGUGAAGCGAGAGCUUGCUCUCGUGGAUCAGUGGCGAACGGGUGAGUAACACGUGAGUAACCUGCCCCAGACUCUGGGAUAAGCCUUGGAAACGAGGUCUAAUACCGGAUACGAGACGAGAUCGCAUGGUCAUCGUCUGGAAAGAAUUUCGGUCUGGGAUGGACUCGCGGCCUAUCAGCUUGUUGGUGAGGUAAUGGCUCACCAAGGCGACGACGGGUAGCCGGCCUGAGAGGGCGACCGGCCACACUGGAACUGAGACACGGUCCAGACUCCUACGGGAGGCAGCAGUGGGGAAUAUUGCACAAUGGGCGCAAGCCUGAUGCAGCGACGCCGCGUGGGGGAUGAAGGCCUUCGGGUUGUAAACCCCUUUCAGCAGGGAAGAAGCGAAAGUGACGGUAC
Molecule: ribosomal RNA, 439 nt
Filed under: Demequina sp. S80
Lineage: Bacteria; Bacillati; Actinomycetota; Actinomycetes; Micrococcales; Demequinaceae
Description: bacterial SSU rRNA
Rfam family: Bacterial small subunit ribosomal RNA
Source: RNAcentral